GCUGGCGGCAUGCUUAACACAUGCAAGUCGAACGAGAUCUUCGGAUCUAGUGGCGCACGGGUGAGUAACACGUGGGAACCUGCCUUUAGGUACGGGAUAACGUCUGGAAACGGACGCUAAUACCGUAUAUUUCCUCCGGGAAAAAGGUCCGCCGCCUAAAGAGGGGCCCGCGUCAGAUUAGCUUGUUGGUGGGGUAAAGGCCUACCAAGGCAACGAUCUGUAGUUGGUCUGAGAGGAUGAUCAGCCACACUGGGACUGAGACACGGCCCAGACUCCUACGGGAGGCAGCAGUGGGGAAUAUUGGACAAUGGGGGAAACCCUGAUCCAGCAAUGCCGCGUGUGUGAUGAAGGCCCUAGGGUUGUAAAGCACUUUCAACGGUGAAGAUGAUGACGGUAGCCGUAGAAGAAGCCCCGGCUAACUUCGUGCCAGCAGCCGCGGUAAUACGAAGGGGGCGAGCGUUGUUCGGAAUAACUGGGCGUAAAGGGCGCGUAGGCGGUCUAUCCAGUUGGGCGUGAAAGCCCUGGGCUCAACCCAGGAAUUGCGUCCAAUACUAAUAGACUAGAGACCGAGAGAGGAUAGUGGAAUUUCCAGUGUAGAGGUGAAAUUCGUAGAUAUUGGAAAGAACACCAGUGGCGAAAGCGGCUAUCUGGCUCGGUUCUGACGCUGAGGCGCGAAAGCGUGGGGAGCAAACAGGAUUAGAUACCCUGGUAGUCCACGCCGUAAACGAUGACUGCUAGAUGUCGGGAGGUUACCUUUCGGUGUCGUCGCUAACGCAUUAAGCAGUCCGCC
RNAcentral lists this ribosomal RNA (790 nucleotides) under uncultured Alphaproteobacteria bacterium. RNAcentral describes it as "bacterial SSU rRNA". It matches the Rfam family "Bacterial small subunit ribosomal RNA", at positions 35 to 873 of the family's 1533-position model. Lineage: Bacteria; Pseudomonadati; Pseudomonadota; Alphaproteobacteria. The record is from RNAcentral.